CAUGAGCACUCAGGAUUGCUGGUAUUAUGAUGGUAGCUGUACUGAACCUGGUGGAAAGGGCUAUGUUGGCAUUAAGAAGCUCCAGUACAUACAGUCAGUCAGUCAAAACAGCUGUGAAGACAUAUCUCAGUAACACCAUCUGAUUGUUCUCAUACUGGGGUGAACUGAUACAAAAGAAGAGGUGAAAAAUCACUGUUUAAACUUUCCAUACAAAAUAGGAUAUUUUAAUUAUUUAUUCUUUAUACUUCUUAUUGAUGUUAAGAGGAAACAACAGGUCAAGGAUGUUUAGGAGAAGAUUUUACUUUCUUAUGUUUGUGUUAGCUAAUGGAUGCCUAAGUUCUGCUGAAAGAACACAAAUCACUUUAGAAGAGAAAUCAGAAAGGGACUUCUCUUUUUAAUUUGUAAUCACUACUAGGUGACUCAAGUAAAUGGACGAGUCAUAUGUGGGACUUCAGCCUAGCAUAAGUUGCUGAAUGUCUUAGAGUUUCAACAGCAAUAAAACAUGCUUUUGUGACACAUUUCAUCCACAAUUUCAAAACUCAUAAGUUCACUAUUGGUAUGUGUAUUUUACUAAUAUCAUAAGAAAGGCACAGAAAGAUCAUAAAGAGUAGAGCCAGAAGUCAUCUUAUGGCCCAGAACAACUAAUCUUGAUUUAAUUAUGGUGGGAUUCUUAAAACAAUUAACCAGCUCGGAAUCUAAAUUUUGUGUUCUUGCUGCAAUGCCAUCAAUCCAAGGUAAAAGAAGGGGAAAAGAAAAUGCCUACAAUUCUUCUGCAUCCCUUUGAGCUUUCUGGGAAUGCUUUGCCUGUGGGAUUAAUCAGAAGUCUGUGAUUCUCAUGCUGUAGUGAGACAUUUUGGUGCCUAAAGUUGUAGAUCUUCAUUGUCCACAAUGUCUUUUGCAAAACAUGUUUUAACAGACCCAGAGAUCCUUUUUCAAAUAAGGGAAUAUGAGAGACUGAAGUGGAAAUAAGACUUAAGAUCUUCUGCAGAUGUCCAUUUGGAUGUCCCUUACUUACACUUGACAAAAGCAGAAAGUGUAAAAGUAGAACUAAAGACCAAAUCAGCAUAAAAAUUGUAACAUUUUUUGAAUCUCAAAACUUGUUCUCAUAGGUGAUCAGUAGAAGCUGCUACAAGUUCUCCCAAUACCCAUCAUAGUCUCAUUUAAAUGCUCUGAGUUAAUGUUAUAUCUCUUUAAUUUACUCUUUAAAUAUGCUGAGCAAGUAGCUCUAGAUUGCUCUUCACCCUUGAAAAAAGUGAAAUGAUAGAAUAGCAAAAAGGUAUGAAAGUGUGUUACUUGCUGUUGGGGGCUGAACACCUACAGCUGUCAGGAUCAACAAUGAUUAGCAUUCCCAUGGUACCAAGAGGCUUCCAAUCUGGAGUUCCCAUAUCUGCAGUCUUCCUUUUAGCCUCAUUUUAGUCUCACAUAUCUCAUUCAACAGAUGGUUUCUUGGCAGGAAACAUUACAUUCCUUAAAGCAACAUUAAUACAGCACUUAUGGGAGUGGCAUAAUUGUUCAAUUAUUUAAUUGUCUGUACAGAGCCAUAAAAUGCUGUUAUGCUUUGGGAAAGGGAAGCUUUUUUCCAAAACAGGAGUCAGCUAUACUAUUCAGGAAAAGCUACAAGGAUUUUUGACUCCUAUGCAAUUGGUAUAAAAAAUCAGAUUGGUAGCUCUAAUGGAGAGAAAUCUGUCUCUGGAUUCCAGAAAAAUGCCUAGGAGUCAAGUUGUCUGCCAGUGGGAUUGUUUGUGGUAAGGAGCUCUGAUGCCCUGCACAAUUAUUUUCAAGUACAAAUAAUAAAAGUAAAAUUCUUUGCUCCGUAUGUAGUUCCCCCAUCCCGUUUAAAGGUCAUUACGUGAACCAGCAUGGAAGGAGAGCUGAAGGAAUUUGUCAGCUUUUGGCAUAGUUUUGAAAGCAAUUGUGAACUUGCACAUCAGGGAGAUGAUGCCAUGCAGAUUAUGUGUCUGAGUCUCUUUGGACUGUCAGUCUCUCAAUUCCUCAAACAUUAGAUGCUUCCACAGUCCUAAGGUCCCUGGUAAGUGGCCUUGUUUAAAAGCAAGAAAUUACAGAAAUGUGUGGUAGAAGGGUUGCUGGGUAUCACAGAAAUAACAAAUCUCUUCUCAAAAGUUCCAAUUCCAAUUGGCUCUGGUAGUAACAGGCCUUCAUAAGGAAGUAACAGGGUGAGGGGAUACCUGGAAGGGUCACGGUGUAUAAAUUUCUGUCUUUAAUAUAACUCUCCCUGAGAACUUUGAAGCCUGAUUAUGACAAGCAUAAUCUACAGAAUAUUCCUUUGCCCUUCUGUGCUCUAACAUUUCAUACCUGCAGAACCUGGUGUGAUUUCUUGAGCCUGUUUUCCACUGUAUUGGUGCUUUUGAUGUAUGGCCUGUUUUCAUUUACAUUCAUAAAUUAUCAGUGCAAUUUAUACAUGUACAGACCUGAUUUAUGCAGCAGAAUCAUGUUUAUGGUCAUGUUUGUGCUAUCAUUCCCUAAAAGUUAACAGAAAGUGUUUGGCUGCUUUAUGAGGUCCCACAUAAAUGCUGAAACAAAGGCUGGCAAUGUGUGAGCACUGACAUUACUUAAAUAUAUAUAUAUAUGGCCAUUGUUAAAUUAACAACCUUUUUAUUUAUAGUAUUAUUAUAAGACUGAUAUGUUUAUAUCCAUACUGUCAAUGAUAACCUUCCUGCCUUUAUUUCAGGCUUAGUUGGUAAUGUUUAUAUUAGGCUUUUAUGUCAAUGCGUUUUCAAUGGCAUUAAUGUCACACACAAAGCAACCUUAGGCCUGCAAUAUCAUUCAUAAUGUUUUGAUACGGGUUUUGUAUCUGUCCCUUUACUGUUAACAUAAGUAUAAUUUACACCUGUUUUUCACUGGAAGGAUUUUUGAUGCUUCAGAACCUCAACAUCUGUCUCUGAAGACACAAAAGUUGCACUUGAUGAAAGCCUAGCUUUCAGAUUAAAAAAAACCAUCUUGUUAUCAGGCUCCUCCAGGUUGACAAAAAAUAGAAAUCCCCUUGCUCUCUUCAAACAGACAUGAGAGAGACAGUCCCUUUAUCAUUUAGCAUACCUCUAGUCCAACAAGGCAAUAGCUUAAGUAUGUGCUGUCCUCUGCUGAAAUAGGACUGGAAAUCAAUUAUUAUUAUUAUUGUUGGUAUUUCAAUUGAGUUUAAAAGAGACAGCUAGUCUUGUCUGAAUGACUGACUGUUUGAUUUGCUGUUCAAACUGAAGAAAGAAAAUUUCAAACAAAGGAAAAAAGAUUGAGUGCUUCUUUGAAACAGUAAAAAAAACCCAAACAACAAUAAAAUGCCAAGUCAAACUAAAGCAAAUAAAAAGAACCCCAGUGCUUUUUUCUUAAUUAAAUGACAAUGGUUCUUUUAUUUCAAAAUUAUUUGCAGAUUAGGACCUGAUUGUGCAAGAUGCUAUUUAAAGCUAUGCUACAACAUAACCUUAAUAAAUUUAGUCCAAGUAGAUGUAAACAGAUGCAGCAGAUUUUGAAGGUCCAAGGUUAUACAUUAGAUAUUUAGUUGGGAUGAAUAAAGAACAGAAGAGAAUUUAAUUAUCUAGUUGCCUUCACCACCUGUCUACACUCCAAGAUUAUAAAUUGUCCUAUAGUAAUGCAGGCUGAGGAAUCAAGCCUCCAACUCUAUGAGCUGGAUGUGGACUUGAAGUCUUAGAGUGAAGUAGAAAAAAACAAAAGGAUUUAAGGACAUGGAAAGGACCUGCACAUUAGCAAGAAUUCACACGGAAGCAUGACUAGGUGAUGAUGGUGAUUAGUCACUAUGCUGAGACUUACGGGUAUGGAAACCUCACUCAGGAGUCAUAGAGGAGACAGAGAGAUGAGAAAUAUAACACAGUGGGGUUCUGAUACUGUGGGUGCUGUAGAUAUAUAGUUGUGGGAAAGAAAACAGGGCCUGGAAGAACAGGUGGAGUGCCUCAGAGUACAUGGAGGAAGGACGGGUGACUUAUCAAGUGCCCUCGAACAUGAGAGGGUACCACAUGUGUGGGCUGUGAGGAGUGGGUGCAGAGAUAUAUCUGGGUCCCAGUGCUUGAACCACUAAUUUUAUGAUAUGUAUAUACCUGCAGGCUUGACCAGAGAAAAUGAUAAUUUGUAAUUAGAAAAAGAGAGGUAUUUAAGGAUGCCAGUGACUUUAUAAGAAAGACAAAUAAAAGUAAGGAGAUGCUCUAAGUCACUGUCAUAUUUACAUUGAAAUAUCUUUGAAUUAUUUUAACAAAAGUUAAUUUGUGUUUCUCCAACCUUUCUUUUAUUCCUUCUGUUGUCUAGUCAAAAAAAUCAUGUUUUAGUGUUGACCUCUAUCAUACUUCACAGGCUGAAUGUGAUGACUCUAGCUGAGACAUCAUUGUGCCUCACUGCAUGACUUUGCACUGAGGAGUGUCUCCAUAUGCCUAGCAUAUACAUUGAAGAAAUUUCUUUGCUGAAGACAGUGGGAAUUUUGCCAGUGAUGUCAAAGGUGACAGGAUUUCAGCUAAACCAUUUCAGUAAUGUAAUUUGGCAUAAGUCCACUAAAAUCUGUGGAGUUACUUGAAUGUACAUCAGCUAAGAAUCAAGCCAAUAAAAUACAUAUUACUCAGCAUAGUCAUGUAGAUGUUUAAGAAAGGUUAUGAAGAAAAGAAGCAGCAUAGGAUACCUGUAAUUUGGAUUCAAACUCAUGAAUGUAAGUCAUAAAGAAAUUUGGAUGCUUACAGAUUUGAACACAAUUUAAACUAAAAUGACACCAAGACUGUGCUGCGAUUUCACAGAGCUGUGCUCACCCUGAAGGCUUAGACUGAGACAGAAGGAAAAACCAAGGAAACAGGAUAUUUUAAAACUGCAUCCUGAUAAAGCUCUCUAUUUUCAGUUAUUAGAGAGCGAUAUUUAAAGAGUAAAUAGUAAUAAAGAGGGUAAAUAUGCCUGGUGCUUACAAUUAGGUGACUGUAUGGAGGCUAUUUUAGUAGUUUAUGGAAAACUAGACUACUUAGUUUUCAAUAUUUAGCAUGAGAUCCAAGGAUAUGGACAAGGUAAUAUCAGAUUCCAUUAGUGGCUGCUUGCAAAAUGCAGAGUGGUUGUUUCACACAGGAAAAGGCUGAUGAGAACAAAAGGAUUUCAGAUGAAGUGGAAAUACGGUUGCAAAACAGAUUUCUAUAAUGAAUUCUGAGGGGCGCAUCUGUUAUUAUCUACGUGAUAUAAAAUUGCUCUUUUUGUCUCAUUUCGCUCAGUUGCACAAGAUGCAAUCACAUCAAACAGGCAUGUUCAAUAAAACUGUGAUCUGACUGAUUAAAAUGAACAGCAAUCUGUUUUCUUCUGACAGUCACACAGCAACUUGAAUAACAAGGACUAUGAGCAUGGAAUUGAAUAGCCACUUGGAAUUGAUAUUAAUGUUCACAAGUGCUGUUAAGGCAUUUGACCAAAUCUGUCCAUCCAAUGAAAUAACAUCCCUCUAUCCUUAAAUCAUUUAAACCACAAGUAAUUUAUGAGGCAUAUUCGAUAACAUCCUGCUGCUCCUCUUCACUUCCAAAGCCUUCUACGGAGCCACUGCACUGCUUUUCUAUGCAGCAUAAAUACCAGCAAAGGAAGUGUUCCUGGAAGGAAGGCAUGGGCAUCUGUUAGCAAGACUGUGAGAAGUUUCCAUUUGCAGUAGCAGGAACAAGUUUUGCGUCGAAAAAGACAUCUUGAUGGAGUCAUUUCCCUAAUUCCAACAUCUAGCCUAGGUUUUCUGUUCACUCCCUGUGUAGCUGAGAGUGGAGAGAUAACCCUUCCCUUCCAGAGAAAAGUUAAUUCUGCUUGUUCAGACACAUAUUGGCAGUGGAGACUGAAAUGUGUUUUGAGAUGUCUCCUGAUGAAAAUGUUAAACCAGUGGAUUUUUGUCAUUUUCCUACAAAAUCCAUUGUAAGAGAUUAGUACUACUGAGAGGAUGCAUUCUUCUCUCUUGGAGCAGACAGCCUUAAGCUAAUUUAUCUUGAACAUGAUGAAGUCAAACAUAGCAAUCAAGGGGUCAUAUAAAUCUACCUGCUCUGUUGCUAAUGUGGCAUAGCUGAGAAUCUACUUGAUUCUAGUAUUCAAUCUCAUAAAGUCGUACACUUGGAUGCCUGUUUUGUUGUCUACUCCAGAUGUUGUUCCUUUAUUUUAAAGGUCUCAAACCCCCAAAGAAAUUUCAAAAGGGCUUCAGAAGACUUCUAGCAUGAACACAAAACUUCAAGGCUGUGAAAGUUGCUUGGCAAGUGUUUUCAAGAUCCAUGUAAAACUGUCAUGGCACAUUGAGUGACUUUUGGAGUUUCUUGCCUGCCAGAGCAAUUAGAUUACGAAUAAACCAAUUGUCAGAAAUGU
This is a long non-coding RNA of Passer domesticus (house sparrow), 6309 nucleotides long. RefSeq lists it as uncharacterized. The transcript has 2 exons. The record is from RefSeq and is a predicted model, not a curated record. Lineage: Eukaryota; Metazoa; Chordata; Aves; Passeriformes; Passeridae.